Molecule: long non-coding RNA, 317 nt
Organism: Aedes aegypti (yellow fever mosquito)
Lineage: Eukaryota; Metazoa; Arthropoda; Insecta; Diptera; Culicidae
Exons: 4
Source: RefSeq, a predicted model, not a curated record
GUCCAUCCUUCAUUUUGUGUAGUGUCAACAUUUGCUCUAUUAUCAAUCAGUAAUUUCACAACCUCAAGAUGACCAUUUUGGGAUGCAAAAUGGAGAGGUGUCCAUCCUUCAUUUUGCGUAGUGUCAACAUUUGCUCUAUUAUCAAUCAGUAAUUUCACAACCUCAAGAUGACCAUUUUGGGAUGCAAAAUGGAGAGGUGUCCAUCCUUCAUUUUGCGUAGUGUCAACAUUUGCUCUAUUAUCAAUCAGUAAUUUCACAACCUCAAGAUGACCAUUUUGGGAUGCAAAAUGGAGAGGUGUCCAUCCUUCAUUGUUCGU